GAGUAACGCGUAUCCAACCUUCCCCCCAGUAGGGCAUAGCCCGGCGAAAGUCGGAUUAAUACCCUAUGUUUUCCAAUGAGGACAUCUGAGCUGGAACGAAAGAUUUAUCGCUGGGGGAUGGGGAUGGCGUCCGAUUAGGUUGUUGGCGGGGUAACGGCCCACCAAGGCCCGCGAUCGGUAGGGUUCUGAGAGGAAGGUCCCCCCACACUGGUACUGAGACACGGACCAGACUCCUACGGGAGGCAGCAGUGAGGAAUAUUGGUCAAGUGGGCGUAAGCCUGAACCAGCCAAGUAGCGUGCAGGACGACGGCCCUAUGGGUUGUAAACUGCUUUUAUGCGGGGAUAAAGUGAGGUAUGUAUACCUUUUGUAGGUACCGCAUGAAUAAGGACCGGCUAAUUCCGUGCCAGCAGCCGC
Molecule: ribosomal RNA, 415 nt
Filed under: uncultured bacterium
Lineage: Bacteria
Description: bacterial SSU rRNA
Rfam family: Bacterial small subunit ribosomal RNA
Source: RNAcentral